UCCGAGUUGUCCCCGGCAGUCCCCUUAGAGUCCCCGGCAUUACCCGCUGGCAACUAAGGACAGGGGUUGCGCUCGUUGCGGCACUUAAGCCAACACCUCACGGCACGAGCUGACGACAGCCAUGCAGCACCUGUGCUAGCCCCUUACGGACACGGGCUUUCACCCGCUUUAACUAGCAUGUCAAGCCUAGGUAAGGUGGGGAUGACGUACCAAGGUUGGUU
Molecule: unclassified non-coding RNA, 221 nt
Filed under: uncultured Actinomycetes bacterium
Lineage: Bacteria; Bacillati; Actinomycetota; Actinomycetes
Description: uncultured actinobacterium contains 16S-23S intergenic spacer region
Source: RNAcentral